Molecule: ribosomal RNA, 253 nt
Filed under: uncultured bacterium
Lineage: Bacteria
Description: partial 16S ribosomal RNA
Rfam family: Bacterial small subunit ribosomal RNA
Source: RNAcentral
UACGUAGGCAGCAAGCGUUGUUCGGAGUUACUGGGCGUAAAGGGUGUGUAGGCGGUCUUCUAAGUUUGGUGUGAAAUCUCCCGGCUCAACUGGGAGGGUGCGCCGAAAACUGGGAGGCUAGAGUGCGGGAUGGGAGAGUGGAAUUCCCGGUGUAGUGGUGGAAUGCGUAGAUAUCGGGAGGAACACCAGUGGCGAAGGCGGCUUCCUGGACCUGUUCUGACGCUGAGGAGCGAAAGCGUGGGGAGCGAUCCGG